This 460-nucleotide ribosomal RNA is filed under the name uncultured bacterium. Its description in RNAcentral is "partial 16S ribosomal RNA". It matches the Rfam family "Bacterial small subunit ribosomal RNA", at positions 338 to 795 of the family's 1533-position model. The record is from RNAcentral.
CCUACGGGUGGCAGCAGUGAGGAAUAUUGGUCAAUGGACGAGAGUCUGAACCAGCCAAGUAGCGUGAAGGAUGACUGCCCUAUGGGUUGUAAACUUCUUUUAUAUGGGAAUAAAAUGUUCCACGUGUGGGAUUUUGUAUGUACUAUAUGAAUAAGGAUCGGCUAACUCCGUGCCAGCAGCCGCGGUAAUACGGAGGAUCCGAGCGUUAUCCGGAUUUAUUGGGUUUAAAGGGAGCGUAGGUGGAUUGUUAAGUCAGUUGUGAAAGUUUGCGGCUCAACCGUAAAAUUGCAGUUGAUACUGGCAGUCUUGAGUACAGUAGAGGUAGGCGGAAUUCGUGGUGUAGCGGUGAAAUGCUUAGAUAUCACGAAGAACUCCGAUUGCGAAGGCAGUUCACUAAACUGCCACUGACACUGAGGCUCGAAAGUGUGGGUAUCAAACAGGAUUAGAUACCCGUGUAGUC